GUGUCAGCAGCCGCGGUAAUACGUAGGCAGCGAGCGUUGUUCGGAGUUACUGGGCGUAAAGGGUGUGUAGGCGGUCCUCUAAGUUUGGUGUGAAAUCUCCCGGCUCAACUGGGAGGGUGCGCCGGAUACUGAAGGGCUAGAGUGCGGGAUGGGAGAGUGGAAUUCCUGGUGUAGCGGUGAAAUGCGUAGAUAUCAGGAGGAACACCGGUGGUGUAGACGGCUCUCUGGACCGUAACUGACGCUGAAACACGAAAGCGUGGGGAGCAAACAGGAUUAGAAACCCGCGUAGUCC
This 292-nucleotide ribosomal RNA is filed under the name uncultured bacterium. RNAcentral's name for it is "partial 16S ribosomal RNA". It matches the Rfam family "Bacterial small subunit ribosomal RNA", at positions 505 to 796 of the family's 1533-position model. The record is from RNAcentral.